This 2486-nucleotide long non-coding RNA is filed under the name Homo sapiens (human). Its description in RNAcentral is "non-protein coding lnc-P4HA2-3:3". The record is from RNAcentral. Lineage: Eukaryota; Metazoa; Chordata; Mammalia; Primates; Hominidae.
CGCUUCCCCCAACGCAACAUCUAGGUUCUUAGGAAACUUCAUUUGUUGUGAAAAUCGGAAAUGAAAAGACAGUUGGUGACAAACUCCUUUCUCCAUCACCUCCUUAUUGGACAGAAACGACCCAGGAAUGCGCCUCGCAAGCCAAAGAAGAAGAAGAGGAAGAGGAAGAAGAAGAAGAAGAAGAAGAAGAAGAAGAAGAAGAAGAAGAAGAAGAAGAAGAAGAAGAAGAAAAGAAGAAGAAGAAGAAGAGGAAGAAGAAGAAGAAUGCAGCAGUAGGUUGUUUACAGAUUGGUCACGAGUCUUGGCAAGAAAGUCUGAAGACGGGACCAGCUGCACAUGUUUUACCCUAAGAGCUUGCUAUAUAAAGGAUACUUUCUGGAAGGCUGGUUGGUGUGAGGAUUCAGUCUUGCAGCCACUCGAGACAUCACUUCUGUUCGAGAAACCAGGAGCUCUAAGAGAAUGUAUAAUGAGAACUUCUAUGUGUGGAGAGUUAAACAAGAAGCUGUCUCAUCCCAGGGAAGAUGAAGAGAAAAUGGCGGAUCUGGGCUUGAAGUGCACACAGUGUUGGAAAAGGCCCCACCUAAGGCUCUAGGACCAGCAGUCCCUGAGAAGUAGCUGUGUGUAGGAUUAAGACAAGCUGACUGCGGAGAGCUGUGACAUUGGGCAUUCAAGCAUGAAGCAUUGUUGGCCCAGAGAGGGUGCACAAGCAUUCUCCCUCAGAGAACCAUGGUGUUCCAGAGCCAGAGAGAGAUGGAGAGCUUCCACAAUCCUUGUGAAGAUCUGUUAUCCUAACACCAAUAUAUCCCCUUUAAGAAAAUGGUGGCCCCCUGUAAAUUGUCAAUAUAGCAAAUUGGCUCCCAUAAUAUAUUGAAACACUAUUACCACCUUGGGGAUUCUUUUUCAAAUUACAAGCUUGAUUUAAUAUAAAACGUAAUGAUUAAUACAUUAGAUUAAAAGAAGAAAGGAAUCUUGUAAUUAUCUCAAAAGGCAUUGACAAAAUUCAUCAGCCAUUCACACGAUAAAAGUUAGAAAACCAUGAAGAGAGGAAAUGUUCUUAACAUUUUAAAGAACAGAUAUAAAAAACCAAAAGCCAGCAUUAGAUUUAACAGUCUAGGAAGUUCUAUUAAUGGGAGAAUCCAAUGUCCUCUUCACUACUGUUGUUCAGUGUUGCUCUGGAAGUCCUAACCAGGACAAUAGGGUGAAAAGAAGAAAUAAGGGAGAAGUAAAGGAAGUAAGUAAUAGAGUCAAAAUGAUCAUUAUUUGCAGAUAUUAUGAUUUUCCUUUCAUAAUAUCCAAGAGAAUCAAUUGAAAAAUGAUUAUGACCAGUAGGAGAAUCCAGUAGGAGGGAGCAGAGUAGAAUAAAUUAAUAUAUGUAUAUAGAUUUUAAUAGCUUUUAAGAGUGCUAAGUCACAACUGAUUGGAAAAUGUGAUGAAAACAAUUUACCAUUCACGAUAAUGGUGAAACAUUAAAAAUAUCUAGAAAUGAAUUUUGAGUACAUCAAAAGCCUAUAAACUUUUUUCUUUUUUAUUUCCUUUUUCUUAUCCUAGUGGUGGUGAGAACAAAGGGCCUAUGAACUUUGAUCUAGGAUAGAUUUAAAAGAAGACAAAAGGUAUGCAGGCAUAUGUCAUGUUUCUAGAAAAAUCAAUAUUUUUAAUUUAUUAGUAAAUUCAAUGCAAUUCCAAACAAAAUUUGUUUGGGUGGGAGGAAUUGACAAGAUGAUUCUAAGGAUCAACUGAAAAGUAAGUAUGAAAAAAACCCACAAAUAUUGGAUUAAGAGACUAAUAAAGUAAGAUUUGCCCUAUAAGUAUCAAAGUAUGCAAUAGAGCUAAAAUAAUUAAGAAUGUGAUAGCAGCAUAGGAAAAGACGAAUAUGUUAGUGGAACAAAAGAGAGUCCAUAGCAUGAGAUAAAGAAAACAUUUUAAUUCAGGGAAUAAAAGGUAGUUUACUCAAUAACUCAUGUUGGGGCCAUUUACUAUUAUGCAUAAAAAAUAAGGCUAUAAUUCUAUAUGCUAUAUAAUUUCCCACAUUAUAAAGUAAAUCCCAAAUGGAUUCAUGAUCUAUAUAUUUUAAUUUUCCCAAUGUGAAUGCUUUUAUAAACUACUCAUAUGCUUUACCAGAAAUGACUGGUAAAAAAAUAUAUAGAUUAAUAUUUUUAUAAUCAUGGUGCUACGGUUUGAAUGUGUCCCCCAGAGUUCAUGUGUUGGAAACUUAAUCUACAAUGCAACAGUGUUGAGAGGUGGGCUCUUACGAGGUGAUAAGGUCAUGAGGGCUCUGCCCCCAAUGGAUUAAUGCCAACAGAGGUGGGUUUGUUAUUGUGGGAAUGUGUCCUUGUGAAGGAGGAGCUCGGUCCCCCUUUGUCUCUCUCACCCUCUAGCCUUCUGCCAUGGAAUAAUGCAGCAAGAAGGCCCUUGAAAGAUGCUGGCACCUUGAUAUUGGACUUCUCAGCUUCCAGAAUUUUGAGAAAUAAAUUUCUUUUCUUUAUAAA